GACCGCGUAGCUCAGUUGGCAGAGCAUUGGACUAGUAUUCCAAAGGUCGUAGGUUCGAUUCCCACCGUGGUCA
RNAcentral lists this transfer RNA (73 nucleotides) under Paramuricea clavata. It matches the Rfam family "tRNA". Rfam says of the family: Transfer RNA (tRNA) molecules are approximately 80 nucleotides in length. Lineage: Eukaryota; Metazoa; Cnidaria; Anthozoa; Malacalcyonacea; Plexauridae. The record is from Rfam by way of RNAcentral.